CGGGAAAUGAUCCCUCGUAUACUAUGCAUCAGCUAAGUUACCUCGCUCAGCCUAACAACCGAAACUGCACAACAACAGCCCAGGAAGGACCACAAGUCUGCCCAUACGCGUAUUGCCUAUGCUCAUACGCGUAUUGCCCACGUCUGACCAACCCCAUACGCGUAUUGCCCAUGUCCAUACGCGUAUGCUACGCGUAUCACAU
Molecule: long non-coding RNA, 202 nt
Filed under: Lathyrus oleraceus (garden pea)
Lineage: Eukaryota; Viridiplantae; Streptophyta; Magnoliopsida; Fabales; Fabaceae
Description: Pisum sativum (pea) long non-coding RNA (PSAT_LNC020619)
Source: RNAcentral